AGAGUUUGAUCCUGGCUCAGGACGAACGCUGGCGGCGUNNUUAACACAUGCAAGUCGAACGCUGAACCCGCUUCGGUGGGGGAUGAGUGGCGAACGGGUGAGUAACACGUGGGCAACCUGCCCCCGGCUCUGGGAUAACUCCAAGAAAUUGGGGCUAAUACCGGAUAUCCACCGCUGGCCGCAUGGUGUGGUGGUGGAAAGGGUUUCCGGCUGGGGAUGGGCCCGCGGCCUAUCAGCUUGUUGGUGGGGUAGUGGCCUACCAAGGCGACGACGGGUAGCCGGCCUGAGAGGGUGACCGGCCACACUGGGACUGAGACACGGCCCAGACUCCUACGGGAGGCAGCAGUGGGGAAUAUUGCGCAAUGGGCGGAAGCCUGACGCAGCGACGCCGCGUGGGGGAUGACGGCCUUCGGGUUGUAAACCUCUUUCAGCAGGGACGAAGCGCAAGUGACGGUACCUGCAGAAGAAGCACCGGCCAACUACGUGCCAGCAGCCGCGGUAAUACGUAGGGUGCAAGCGUUGUCCGGAAUUAUUGGGCGUAAAGAGCUCGUAGGCGGUUGGUCGCGUCGGCUGUGAAAACCCGGAGCUCAACUCCGGGCCUGCAGUCGAUACGGGCCGACUUGAGUGUUGCAGGGGAGACUGGAAUUCCUGGUGUAGCGGUGAAAUGCGCGAUAUCAGGAGGAACACCGGUGGCGAAGGCGGGUCUCUGGGCAACAACUGACGCUGAGGAGCGAAAGCGUGGGGAGCGAACAGGAUUAGAUACCCUAGUAGUCC
This 774-nucleotide ribosomal RNA is filed under the name uncultured bacterium. RNAcentral's name for it is "bacterial SSU rRNA". It matches the Rfam family "Bacterial small subunit ribosomal RNA", at positions 8 to 796 of the family's 1533-position model. The record is from RNAcentral.